AGAGUUUGAUCAUGGCUCAGAUUGAACGCUGGCGGAAUGCUUUACACAUGCAAGUCGAGCGGCAGCGCGGGGCAACCUGGCGGCGAGCGGCGAACGGGUGAGUAAUGCAUCGGAACAUGUCCAUGUCGUGGGGGAUAGCCCGGCGAAAGCCGGAUUAAUACCGCAUACGCCCGAGAGGGGAAAGUGGGGGACCGCAAGGCCUCACGCGAUUGGGUUGGCCGAUGUCCGAUUAGCUAGUUGGCGGGGUAAAGGCCCACCAAGGCGAUGAUCGGUAGCUGGUCUGAGAGGAUGAUCAGCCACACUGGGACUGAGACACGGCCCAGACUCCUACGGGAGGCAGCAGUGGGGAAUUUUGGACAAUGGGGGCAACCCUGAUCCAGCCAUUCCGCGUGAGUGAAGAAGGCCUUCGGGUUGUAAAGCUCUUUUGUCCGGAACGAAACGGUGGACGUGAACAUCGUCCAUUACUGACGGUACCGGAAGAAUAAGCACCGGCUAACUACGUGCCAGCAGCCGCGGUAAUACGUAGGGUGCGAGCGUUAAUCGGAAUUACUGGGCGUAAAGCGUGCGCAGGCGGUUUUGUAAGCCAGAUGUGAAAGCCCCGGGCUUAACCUGGGAAUGGCAUUUGGGACUGCAAGGCUUGAGUGCGGCAGAGGAGACUGGAAUUCCCGGUGUAGCAGUGAAAUGCGUAGAUAUCGGGAGGAAUACCGAUGGCGAAGGCAGGUCUCUGGGCUGACACUGACGCUCAUGCACGAAAGCGUGGGGAGCAAACAGGAUUAGAUACGCUGGUAGUCCACGCCCUAAACGAUGUCGACUGGUUGUUGGGGGUUUGACACUCUCAGUAACGAAGCUAACGCGUGAAGUCGACCGCCUGGGGAGUACGGCCGCAAGGUUAAAACUCAAAGGAAUUGACGG
This 912-nucleotide ribosomal RNA is filed under the name uncultured bacterium. RNAcentral's name for it is "bacterial SSU rRNA". It matches the Rfam family "Bacterial small subunit ribosomal RNA", at positions 8 to 916 of the family's 1533-position model. The record is from RNAcentral.